This 476-nucleotide ribosomal RNA is filed under the name uncultured anaerobic ammonium-oxidizing bacterium. Its description in RNAcentral is "bacterial SSU rRNA". It matches the Rfam family "Bacterial small subunit ribosomal RNA", at positions 365 to 832 of the family's 1533-position model. The record is from RNAcentral.
UUCGCAAUGCCCGAAAGGGUGACAAUGCGACGCCGCGUGUGUGAUGAAGGUCUUCGGAUCGUAAAACACUGUCGGCCGGGAGGAAUCUCUGGAGGCUUAAUAAGCCUGCAGGGUGACAGUACCGGCAAAGGAAGCCACGGCUAACUCCGUGCCAGCAGCCGCGGUAAUACGGAGGUGGCAAGCGUUACUCGGAUUGAUUGGGUGUAAAGGGCGUGUAGGCGGUGCGUUAAGUCGAGUGUGAAAUCCCUUGGCUCAGCCAAGGAACUGCAUUCGAAACUGACGUGCUUGAGGACGGUAGGGGAGAGUGGAACUCCUGGUGUAGCGGUGAAAUGCGUAGAUAUCAGGAGGAACGCCGGUGGCGAAAGCGACUCUCUGGGCCGCUCCUGACACUGAGGCGCGAGAGCCAGGGGAGCAAACAGGAUUAGAUACCCUGGUAGUCCUAGCCCUAAACGAUGGGCACUAAGUAGAGGGGUUUU